CGGGGUGGAGGUAAUGCUUGGGAAUCUAGCUUAUGGAGGGGGAUAACUACGGGAAACUGUAGCUAAUACCGCGUAGAAUCGAGAGAUGAAAGUGUGGGACCUUCGGGCCACAUGCCAUAGGAUGAGCCCAAGUGGGAUUAGGUAGUUGGUGAGGUAAAGGCUCACCAAGCCGACGAUCUCUAGCUGGUCUGAGAGGGUGACCAGCCACACUGGGACUGAGACACGGCCCAG
Molecule: ribosomal RNA, 231 nt
Filed under: uncultured bacterium
Lineage: Bacteria
Description: partial 16S ribosomal RNA
Rfam family: Bacterial small subunit ribosomal RNA
Source: RNAcentral